CCUACGGGAGGCUGCAGUGAGGGAUAUUGGUCAAUGGGGGAAACCCUGAACCAGCAACGCCGCGUGAGGGAAGACGGUUUUCGGAUUGUAAACCUCUGUCCUCUGUGAAGAUGAUGACGGUAGCAGAGGAGGAAGCUCCGGCUAACUACGUGCCAGCAGCCGCGGUAAUACGUAGGGAGCAAGCGUUGUCCGGAUUUACUGGGUGUAAAGGGUGCGUAGGCGGCUUUGCAAGUCAGAAGUGAAAUCCAUGGGCUUAACCCAUGAACUGCUUUUGAAACUGGCGUUCUUGAGUGGGCGAGAAGUAUGCGGAAUGCGUGGUGUAGCGGUGAAAUGCAUAGAUAUCACGCAGAACUCCGAUUGCGAAGGCAGCAUACCGGCGCCCAACUGACGCUGAAGCACGAAAGCGUGGGUAUCGAACAGGAUUAGAUACCCUUGUAGUC
Molecule: ribosomal RNA, 440 nt
Filed under: uncultured bacterium
Lineage: Bacteria
Description: partial 16S ribosomal RNA
Rfam family: Bacterial small subunit ribosomal RNA
Source: RNAcentral